ACGAAUUCGCCCUUAGAGUUUGAUCCUGGCUCAGAUUGAACGCUGGCGGCAGGCCUAACACAUGCAAGUCGAACGGUAGCACAGAGAGCUUGCUCUCGGGUGACGAGUGGCGGACGGGUGAGUAAUGUCUGGGAAACUGCCUGAUGGAGGGGGAUAACUACUGGAAACGGUAGCUAAUACCGCAUAACGUCUUCGGACCAAAGUGGGGGACCUUCGGGCCUCAUGCCAUCAGAUGUGCCCAGAUGGGAUUAGCUAGUAGGUGGGGUAACGGCUCACCUAGGCGACGAUCCCUAGCUGGUCUGAGAGGAUGACCAGCCACACUGGAACUGAGACACGGUCCAGACUCCUACGGGAGGCAGCAGUGGGGAAUAUUGCACAAUGGGCGCAAGCCUGAUGCAGCCAUGCCGCGUGUAUGAAGAAGGCCUUCGGGUUGUAAAGUACUUUCAGCGGGGAGGAAGGGGAUAAGGUUAAUAACCUUGUUCAUUGACGUUACCCGCAGAAGAAGCACCGGCUAACUCUGUGCCAGCAGCCGCGGUAAUACAGAGGGUGCAAGCGUUAAUCGGAAUUACUGGGCGUAAAGCGCGCGUAGGUGGUUCGUUAAGUUGGAUGUGAAAUCCCCGGGCUCAACCUGGGAACUGCAUUCAAAACUGACGAGCUAGAGUAUGGUAGAGGGUGGUGGAAUUUCCUGUGUAGCGGUGAAAUGCGUAGAUAUAGGAAGGAACACCAGUGGCGAAGGCGACCACCUGGACUGAUACUGACACUGAGGUGCGAAAGCGUGGGGAGCAAACAGGAUUAGAUAC
This 800-nucleotide ribosomal RNA is filed under the name uncultured bacterium. RNAcentral describes it as "bacterial SSU rRNA". It matches the Rfam family "Bacterial small subunit ribosomal RNA", at positions 1 to 785 of the family's 1533-position model. The record is from RNAcentral.